AAAAAUAUGUCUUUUAAUUGGUAAACAGAGUAUUAUGGUUAAAUAGAAAAUGAGUUUGAAAGACGUGUGUACAAAUCCUUUUUCAACUUAAUGGUGACCAGAUGGGAGCAAGGUAAAUAAAAGUAACGAAAAUAAAUAAUAAAAAAAAACCAAUUCAGAAACAACGACAAAACCUUCUGAUCUGACACUUUUUGUGAUUUUAUACACGAGUGUGUGGGCAUUUCACUUCUAAAUUAAAUGUUAUUAUAUGAUAUAGAAACCAGUCGUAAACAUUAAUAUACUAGUACAAUCUAUUGAUAAUGUUGUGUUUUUUUAAACAGAGGUUGAAUGUAAUGUUUAAAUAACAAAUGAUAUUGAAAGAAGUAUGUACAGAUACUUUUUGAAAUUGAUAGUGACAAGAUGGGAGUAAGGUAAAAAAAUUAAGUGCUGAUUUCAGUUUUCAUUCUUUCCCCUCCCAAUUUAAAAUUUAAAAACAAACAAAUAAAAACGACAAUAAACAUUGUUGGAGCUAAUUUCAGUUUUGAUCAAUCAGCUGAGUUCUGAAAUCAACAACUUCAUGCACAAU
Molecule: long non-coding RNA, 565 nt
Filed under: Mytilus galloprovincialis (Mediterranean mussel)
Lineage: Eukaryota; Metazoa; Mollusca; Bivalvia; Mytilida; Mytilidae
Source: RNAcentral